GCCCGCAUAGCUCAGCCGGUAGAGCAUCUGAUUUGUAAUCAGAGGGUCGGGGGUUCAAAUCCCUCUGCGGGCUCCA
This 76-nucleotide transfer RNA is filed under the name Gammaproteobacteria bacterium. RNAcentral describes it as "tRNA-Thr". It matches the Rfam family "tRNA". From Rfam's summary of the family: Transfer RNA (tRNA) molecules are approximately 80 nucleotides in length. Lineage: Bacteria; Pseudomonadati; Pseudomonadota; Gammaproteobacteria. RNAcentral also lists the same sequence under 1 other name. The record is from RNAcentral.